RNAcentral lists this non-coding RNA (99 nucleotides) under Ignavibacteria bacterium. RNAcentral's name for it is "TPP sequence". It matches the Rfam family "TPP riboswitch aptamer (THI element)". From Rfam's summary of the family: Vitamin B(1) in its active form thiamin pyrophosphate (TPP) is an essential coenzyme that is synthesised by coupling of pyrimidine and thiazole moieties in bacteria. The previously detected thiamin-regulatory element, thi box was extended, resulting in a new, highly conserved RNA secondary structure, the THI element, which is widely distributed in eubacteria and also occurs in some archaea. Analysis of operon structures identified a large number of new candidate thiamin-regulated genes, mostly transporters, in various prokaryotic organisms. Lineage: Bacteria; Pseudomonadati; Ignavibacteriota; Ignavibacteria. The record is from RNAcentral.
AUAAGUUGUUAGGGGUGCUCUCUUUCAUUUGAGUGCUGAGAUCAAACCCUUGAACCUGAUCUGGGUAAUGCCAGCGUAGGGAAACGGGCUGUGAUAAUU